Molecule: long non-coding RNA, 347 nt
Filed under: Nicotiana benthamiana
Lineage: Eukaryota; Viridiplantae; Streptophyta; Magnoliopsida; Solanales; Solanaceae
Description: long non-coding RNA (NBEN_LNC029523)
Source: RNAcentral
AUCGAAGCCGAGGCUAACUCCCAGCAGAAGCUAGCUGCUGCAGAAGCUGAGAUUGCAGAGCUGAGACAGAAGUUGGAUGCUUCUAAAAGGUCUGUUCAGCCACUUAUUAUAUUGAAUGACGAGUCAUCAUAGUGCUGUUGGUAGAUCAUUCAGAAAAUUGUCUCUGUGUGCUUAAACCUAAGAGAACAUCUUCCUAAAUAGGAGCUCACAUUGCCACUUGUUAUAUUGAAUGAUGCGUCAUCAUAGUGCUUUUGGUAGAUCAUUCGGAAAAUUGUCUGUGUCCUAGGAUAACAUCUUCCUAAAUAGGAGCUGAACUUGAUAUGUAUUUCCCAUACAUGAAAAACUCU